CUGCAAGAAGUUCAAUAUCCAGAAGAUAAACAUAACCAUGAAAAAAGAAACUCUAAUAUCUACUUUCAAGCAGUUCAAUAUACCAAAACACACACUGAACCAAGGAAAACAAAAGACAAUUGGUGCACUUGACAGAUUUGACUGAACUGCAAACUCAGGAGCAAAUUACAAUGUUGUUCCAGACCUAGGAUAAACAUCAAUUCUUAAAAUCAAAAAAGAAAAAACAAUAGCAAAUCUUGUCUGCAUCUCCAAAGUAACAUCCAAGCAAAUGUAAAGUGACUCCUCUGAUUGAUCAUGCACACCAGCAGCUAAUCAUCCUGAAUACAACAUGUACAUGAAAACAAGAUGAUAUUAAUUCUUUAUAAAAAAAAAUAAUCAAGAUUAUAGGAAUGGUAAAGAGGUAAUAAUAUUACCUGUGAUGAACUAUCAUUAUCUAUAUCUUCUCCACUAAGAUUGUCAGCAGAUCUAAAAGAGAAAUAACAUAUAUUUAGCACACACUGUCCAAAUAUUAACAAUAAAAUUGGAAAUAUGUUGGAUAUGUAUUCUUACUGAUUGAGAUUGAGCAACACGGGACAGUUGCGUUUGUCAUGGGUUUGCCCAUCUUUGCC
This 608-nucleotide long non-coding RNA is filed under the name Fragaria vesca (wild strawberry). RNAcentral's name for it is "long non-coding RNA (FVES_LNC004590)". The record is from RNAcentral. Lineage: Eukaryota; Viridiplantae; Streptophyta; Magnoliopsida; Rosales; Rosaceae.